UUCUACACCCUGCUCUUAUCAUGCAAAUUAUGCAAAACCUUUCAAAUUGCACACAUGUCUAAUGCUGUGGCCAUUUCAAAACACUUUUGCAUGUUCUUUAAAAAGUCUACCCUCCCUUUUCCUUGAAAAGUUUGCUUUAAGAUAACCGCCACAGCUGACUUCAUGUGAUUUCUUUUGGUUCGGAAAACCCACUUUGCAGGCAUACAUGAACACACAGUGUGUGUUUUGUCCUACUCAACUUUACUGCUCUCCUCCCCUCCUUCUUCCCAUCACACGCACUGAACAAGUGCACUGGUGCAGGAAGAUGUUUGCUCAGCACAUUUCAAUAUGAACAUUAUACUACUCUAUCUAGCUUCCAUUCAUUUCCCUGUCAUAAACUAUCUGCAGCCAGCAGUUUUUAUUCAUGAACACCAUGAAGAAAAAUCCCCCCUGAAACUCAAAUGCCAUUAUCAGGAAAACAGAUCGAGGUUGGUUGUAGCAUGUCUUUUUUUAUUACGAUUAAACUCAUCAGUAUUUCACCUUUGCCAUGUUGCAUGGCUACUUUUCAUUUUCAUUCAUAUUUUUGAUUUAAGUUCUUAUACAUACAUGAAUGUCUUAGUAAAUAAAGUGAUAUUGAAACAUUUAUUUAUUUAGUCAUUAAACAAUCAUUGUCAUUAUCUUUAAAAUUAAAGAAACAUAAUUGGCUCGACUGAGACAAGUGCCCAAAUUAAAUGAUGUAAUUUAGUUGGAGCAUUAUGAGUCCAAAGAUGUGAGCUUUCCACAUCAACAAGUGUCCGAACACAGUGUAUGGGAAGGUUUCUGUGCACAGUCAUGCCUUUGUAGUUUUGGCACCAGGCCAGUUUUUUUUUUUUUGGUCUGUCUUUUCCCCCUUUUUUCCUCCUUCUUCUCCUCCUCCUCCUCCAAGCCAAUCUGCUCUACAUUUGCCAUUAUUAUGUGCUUGCCAUUCAGAUGGCAUAUCAGAGGAAGGUGCCAGGUGCCGUUUACCCCUCUCUCUCUCUCUUUCUCUUACUCCUCCUCCUCCUCACACCCCUCUCAUCACAUCACUGUUUCCACUCCUGCUUUGGCACAGAGUUCUCUAAAGGGUCCAGGUGGCAUCUUGCCCCGUUCUGCUCUUGGAGUCAGAAACAGAAGACAAAAAAAACAAAACAGCAAAUAAAAAAGUCUUGAUAAAGAGGAUACACUUCCUUUCACAUCCUGUUUGGAGCAUGUUGUGCUUCCUAUGCCCACGGGCUACAUGUUGUUGUUGUUAAAUUCCAUCUCUCCACGUCUUUGGGUAGUUGUUGCUGUUUGAGAUCAAAGACGUAGACCAUCUUCAAAUCGUGGAACUUUUUGGGUUUUUUUUUUAUUUAUUUAUUUAUUUUUUUUGCUAUUGGCGGGACCCUGGUACGUUUCAUAUGCCCACACACACAUUUACACACAUAAAAAUGCACGUAGAUCCAGCAGAGUGCUUCUCUCAGAGCUCCCUGCCACCUCGUCUGCCUUCUGCCUCUGAAGAACUGGGAACACAAUGGGAUCUACCAGGAACUUUUGACUCACACGCAUACAGACACGCGUCGGAUUUAAUUUGCACGUGCACUCAGCAGUCGUUUGAGGCUUCAGGAAAGUGAAUAAUCAAUUGAAUAUUGAUUCCUUGUAAGAUUUUGUACAUUUCCGAGCCGAAGACAAAGAGGGUAGCUUAAGGAUAGUCGCUGCGAGCAAGAGGAGCUGCAAAUUAGCCCGUAAACACAGACAGUGGACUAAACGAAGAUGAAGAGAUGGCGAAUGGGCAAAUAAGCUUUAAACACAGGAGCUGCAGGAGAAGAUAUAGUGACAGGAGGACAUGGUAAUUAGGGAGUCUGUAACGCACACCUCAUCGUUAUGGGGAGUAUGCAAAUUAAUCGGCUGGCUCUUUUCUCUUUGUCGUGGAUCAGAAGGCAAGUGCUGCAGAGGAGAAUUAAGAGCUAUUAUUCUACGAAAGGAGUGGUGGGUGUAUGCAAACGAGAGACGAAAAGAGGAGAGCAAAGAACACUGUAACAAUGGAGAUAUGCACUGGACUUUACUGCAAAGACGAUUUCCAGUAAAAUCACAUAAAUAGACUCGUACUAUUCCUCACAUGCUGGGAGAUGCGUCUACAUUUGCGCUGAAAAUGGUUAGGAGAACUUGGCAAUCAGACAAGCACCUUCGUUCCCUAUUAUGCCUCUCUGUGCAUAUUGAUAGGCUGCUCUGUGGAUGAUAAUUACCUUUUUGAAUACCGAAUCGCAAAACGAGCAUAGGAAUGAAGAAACGAGAAGAAAGAGCGAGUAAAAAA
Molecule: long non-coding RNA, 2287 nt
Organism: Austrofundulus limnaeus
Lineage: Eukaryota; Metazoa; Chordata; Actinopteri; Cyprinodontiformes; Rivulidae
Exons: 2
Source: RefSeq, a predicted model, not a curated record